UGAGGAAUAUUGGUCAAUGGGCGAGAGCCUGAACCAGCCAAGUAGCGUGCAGGAUGACGGCCCUAUGGGUUGUAAACUGCUUUUAUAAGGGAAUAAAGUGAGAGUCGUGACUCUUUUUGUAUGUACCUUAUGAAUAAGGACCGGCUAAUUCCGUGCCAGCAGCCGCGGUAAUACGGAAGGUCCGGGCGUUAUCCGGAUUUAUUGGGUUUAAAGGGAGCGCAGGCCGCCGGGCAAGCGUGUUGUGAAAUGCAGUCGCUCAACGUCUGCACUGCAGCGCGAACUGCCCAGCUUGAGUGCGCGCAACGUUGGCGGAAUUCGCCGUGUAGCGGUGAAAUGCUUAGAUAUGGCGAAGAACUCCGAUUGGGAAGCCAGCUUACUGUAGCGCCACUGACGCUGAUGCUCGAAAGUGCGGGUAUCGAACAGGAUUAGAUACCCUGGUAGU
This 442-nucleotide ribosomal RNA is filed under the name uncultured Prevotella sp. RNAcentral describes it as "bacterial SSU rRNA". It matches the Rfam family "Bacterial small subunit ribosomal RNA", at positions 355 to 794 of the family's 1533-position model. Lineage: Bacteria; Pseudomonadati; Bacteroidota; Bacteroidia; Bacteroidales; Prevotellaceae. The record is from RNAcentral.